AGUUAGUAGUCGACCACUAUAAAGAGGAGAGUUUUUGUCCAACAUUUGUUAAGUACAUCCGUACAUGGCAUCAGUAAUACGCAUCAACCUAGAAAUUCAAAUAAGAGCUUGCAGAUACUGAUAUAUCUCAUCAUGGUCCAAUGCUAUCUUCCUCCGGGAAGUACGGGUCCAAAUAUGGCCAUUACUUAAUUCUAGGGGAGUCAUAUGCAGACUGUUUUAUCCAUUCAAACAAAAGAAAAUAACAAAUAGAAAUACUUCCAGUGUUGGUUAUUGAUAACCAGCAACUAAAUACAGAGUCUAACCCUUACAAAAGCCUUUUGCUGUUACCACCAGACAAACUUCUGUCGCAGCAAACCACUGAUAAUCGCAUGCUUAGUUUAUAAUAACAAGUCAGCAUGUCAUAGGAGUUGGGGACACAUAAGGAGCAAAAGAUUUAUUUACAAAACAGCCAUAGGGAAAAAGUAUAAACCAGGCAAUGUUAACUUAUCAACAGAAAUAACAAAGAGAAAAAAGAAGAAACAUGUUAGGAGUCCUAAAAAGACUUGCAUAUACACCUUUGACGUUUUUCUGCACAAGGGAGCUGGUAAUACCAAGAACGAUUACCUACAUCUUCAUUUGAAUAUUUUGGCAAGUAGAAAUGCCUCCUUUUCUCAGCUGCUGUAUUGCAGUGUAGAGCUUCCUUCGAGGCCCAACAGCAAAUACACCAAUCUCUUUGAGAUCUUCAAGUGUAAGCAGUGGCAAAGCUUCCUCAUCCACUUCAUGCAUUUCAAAUACACCAGCAUAUUUACCAAAUCCUUGAUCCUCCAACCAUCUUGUGACAGUAUUUACAUCACAACCCCCAGAUUUCAUCUCAUCCCACGUAUUAUUAGAUGCAGGAGAUGCAUUAUUCCCUUCAUUACUAGUAUCCCCCUGCCAAAACUCAUUGGGGUUCCUAUGUUGUCUUGUAUCAUAAGCAGGUCCAUCCAUAUCAAACUCAUAAGCCUCUUUACUUGUAGCUGGUGUUUCGUGAUCUGACAAGUCCUUAAAGCCAUUAUCAGGGUAAUAUUCAUUGCAUUCAUCUGAAGUAAACCUCACAAAAUCCUUUACACUGCAUUCCUUACUAUCUUCAUUACUAAAUUGGGGUUUAAGUUUAGAACUCCAAAUACUGCCAAAAACAUUGCUAGUCCCUUUGAUGCCACGGCCUCGCCGCUUCAUGACCCUACAUUUCCUGGUUAUGGUACCAAAAUUCAAUUUGAGCUUGGUCAUAUCAAUUUCAUCUGAAUUCACUAAUUCAAAAGCUGAUUUUGAAGAGUUCGGAUUCUUAUUCUCUCUGUUCUGCUGCAAAUCAGCUGGAAUCCUUGGAGAAACACCAGGGCCCAAAACUACAAACUCAGGAGAAGUUUGCAUAGUAAACCCAUACAAGUCACUGUGUGCAGUAUUAUUAGGGUUCAGCACAUCAUUUUCAUAACUGUUGAGCCCUAAAUUUUCCUUGGUUUUCUGAGAGAACCCACAUGCAAAAGCUGCAGGAACAUCCCCUAUUUCCCCCAACCUAACAUUUGGGCGUCUCUGCCUUUUUGAAUUCAUACUUAGAACUAACAUUUCCCACAAAUACCUGUAACUCAAAUCCUGAAGAAAAUCCUUGUAAGAGAGAAGGAGCUCCACUAAAGUUAGAAUUUUUCCCUGCUUCCCAAAGAGGAGUGUUGAUGAAUUAGGCUUUUAAGAAAAAAUUCACACCAACUCUAUCUGGAAGUGUGUUUGGUUUCAUUCUGAAGGCAAAAAUACAGGAAGGCUUGGCUUCUUGUCCGUGUGCGACAUAGAUUUAGAUUAGACAAGGACACAGAUAGAGACAGAUUUUGAAAUAUAAAAGAGUCAAAUUGGAAAGUUAUCUUCCCCCUCCUGAGCAAUCCAUCAGAAAAAAGAUUAGAUACACUUAAAUUACGCUAGAGUGUACUUCUUAUCAUGCCAUCCGCUCGACAUGUGGCCACAGGGAGACUCAGUCCACGCGUAAUGAGAUAAAUGGGAAUUGGUGAUUUUUUAAAUACUAAUCUUUUGUGGGUUAAAGAUGCUUUCUUGGAGACAAUGGGCUCAAUUUUUCUGUGAGUCCUUUAAGAG
RNAcentral lists this unclassified non-coding RNA (2091 nucleotides) under Hevea brasiliensis (rubber tree). The record is from RNAcentral. Lineage: Eukaryota; Viridiplantae; Streptophyta; Magnoliopsida; Malpighiales; Euphorbiaceae.